RNAcentral lists this ribosomal RNA (245 nucleotides) under uncultured bacterium. Its description in RNAcentral is "partial 16S ribosomal RNA". It matches the Rfam family "Bacterial small subunit ribosomal RNA", at positions 528 to 772 of the family's 1533-position model. The record is from RNAcentral.
UAGGUGGCAAGCGUUGUCCGGAAUUACUGGGUGUAAAGGGAGCGCAGGCGGGUGCGCAAGUUGGAAGUGAAACUCAUGGGCUCAACCCAUGACCUGCUUUCAAAACUGCGCGUCUUGAGUGGUGUAGAGGUAGGCGGAAUUCCCGGUGUAGCGGUGGAAUGCGUAGAUAUCGGGAGGAACACCAGUGGCGAAGGCGGCCUACUGGGCACUAACUGACGCUGAGGCUCGAAAGCAUGGGUAGCAAA